UACCUGCAGCUCGAGUGGUAACCGCUAUUAUUGGGCCUAAAGCGUCCGUAGCCGGUUUGGUAAAUAUCUGGGUAAAUCGUGAGGCUUAACUUCACGAAUUUCGGAUAGACUGCCAGACUUGGGAUCGGGGGAGGUCAGAGGUACUCCAGGGGUAGCGGUGAAAUGUUGUAAUCCUUGGAAGACCACCGGUAGCGAAGGCGUCUGACUAGAACGAGUCCGACGGUGAGGGACGAAGCCCUGGGGCGCAAACCGGAUUAGAUACCCGGGUAGUCCAGGGUGUAAACAAUGUGGGCUUUGUAUUGGAGGUCCCACGUGGGCGUCCAGUGCAGAAGAGAAGUUGUUAAGCCCACCGCCUGGGAAGUACGGUCGCAAGGCUGAAACUUAAAGGAAUUGGCGGGGGAGCACAGCAACGGGUGGAGCGUGCGGUUU
Molecule: ribosomal RNA, 429 nt
Filed under: uncultured archaeon
Lineage: Archaea
Description: bacterial SSU rRNA
Rfam family: Archaeal small subunit ribosomal RNA
Source: RNAcentral